RNAcentral lists this transfer RNA (72 nucleotides) under Candidatus Staskawiczbacteria bacterium RIFCSPHIGHO2_01_FULL_37_17. RNAcentral describes it as "tRNA-Leu". It matches the Rfam family "tRNA". From Rfam's summary of the family: Transfer RNA (tRNA) molecules are approximately 80 nucleotides in length. Their secondary structure includes four short double-helical elements and three loops (D, anti-codon, and T loops). Lineage: Bacteria; Candidatus Staskawicziibacteriota. The record is from RNAcentral. RNAcentral also lists the same sequence under 12 other names.
GGGGCCAUAGCUCACACUGGGAGAGCGCCCCGCUAAGCGGGGAGGUUGUGGGUUCAAAUCCCUCUGGCUCCA